GUGCUCGCUUCAGCAGCACAUAUACUAAAAUUGGAAUGAUAGAAUAUUAGCAUGGCCUCUGCACAAGGAUGACAUGCAAAUCUGUGAAGUGUUCCCAAAAAAC
This is a small nuclear RNA of Monodelphis domestica (gray short-tailed opossum), 103 nucleotides long. NCBI's taxonomy places the organism in Eukaryota, Metazoa, Chordata, Mammalia, Didelphimorphia, Didelphidae. The record is from Ensembl.